This 582-nucleotide long non-coding RNA is filed under the name Pan troglodytes (chimpanzee). Its description in RNAcentral is "lncRNA (ENSPTRG00000054162.1)". The record is from RNAcentral. Lineage: Eukaryota; Metazoa; Chordata; Mammalia; Primates; Hominidae.
CCCACCCCAACACACAAAGAGCGGGAACCUUGUCGGUGUUGUUCACUGCCCCAUCUCUAACACUUCAAACAAUGCCUAGUGCUCAAUAAAUAUUUCAGUGACUGGCCCUUUGUUUUACAGAUGUGAAAAACUAAGACACAGAGCAGUUAAAAGAUCUAAUGACAGAACUCAGAAUGGAACACAGGUCUCCUACUUCUAGACUCAUGUUUUUGAGGAGAUCCGUGGAUCAGCAUCUCUCCUGGUCAGGACCACAGAGGCCUUCCACCCGCUGUGUGAAGCUUCGUUGGAUGCCAGCUUCAAAAGCAAAAGGGUAUGAGUUAAGUCUGGAGAAUGCUGAUUGUUCACUUGUGGUGGAAGUUUGACUAGAAGGAGCCUGGGCAUACACCAACCACAACACAAAGAAAUUUCCCAAAGAGUUCAAGUAACCCCAAAUUCUAUUCAAUGUUCUUCCUUACAAUAAAUAGUUCGUGAUGAGGUUGAUCAGAAUUCAUUAGGUAGUAACACUGUUCUCUUUUCAUGUUACCCUCCUAAUGUGGAAGCAUCAUUUGCAGCCACAGAACGUAAAGUAAUGAGUUGUUUUAC